This 443-nucleotide ribosomal RNA is filed under the name uncultured bacterium. Its description in RNAcentral is "partial 16S ribosomal RNA". It matches the Rfam family "Bacterial small subunit ribosomal RNA", at positions 338 to 795 of the family's 1533-position model. The record is from RNAcentral.
CCUACGGGAGGCAGCAGUGGGGAAUAUUGGGCAAUGGGCGCAAGCCUGACGCAGCAACGCCGCGUGAAGGAAGAAGGCUUUCGGGUUGUAAACUUCUUUUCUCAGGGACGAAACAAGUGACGGUACCUGAGGAAUAAGCCACGGCUAACUACGUGCCAGCAGCCGCGGUCAUACGUAGGUGGCAAGCGUUAUCCGGAUUUACUGGGUGUAAAGGGCGUGUAGGCGGGACUGCAAGUCAGAUGUGAAAACCACGGGCUCAACCUGUGGCCUGCAUUUGAAACUGUAGUUCUUGAGUACUGGAGAGGCAGACGGAAUUCCUAGUGUAGCGGUGAAAUGCGUAGAUAUUAGGAGGAACACCAGUGGCGAAGGCGGUCUACUGGACAGCAACUGACGCUGAGGCGCGAAAGCGUGGGGAGCAAACAGGAUUAGAUACCCGUGUAGUC